Molecule: ribosomal RNA, 2258 nt
Filed under: Staphylococcus aureus M1170
Lineage: Bacteria; Bacillati; Bacillota; Bacilli; Caryophanales; Staphylococcaceae
Also listed under: 1 other name
Description: bacterial LSU rRNA
Rfam family: Bacterial large subunit ribosomal RNA
Source: RNAcentral
UUAAGUUAUUAAGGGCGCACGGUGGAUGCCUUGGCACUAGAAGCCGAUGAAGGACGUUACUAACGACGAUAUGCUUUGGGGAGCUGUAAGUAAGCUUUGAUCCAGAGAUUUCCGAAUGGGGAAACCCAGCAUGAGUUAUGUCAUGUUAUCGAUAUGUGAAUACAUAGCAUAUCAGAAGGCACACCCGGAGAACUGAAACAUCUUAGUACCCGGAGGAAGAGAAAGAAAAUUCGAUUCCCUUAGUAGCGGCGAGCGAAACGGGAAGAGCCCAAACCAACAAGCUUGCUUGUUGGGGUUGUAGGACACUCUGUACGGAGUUACAAAGGACGACAUUAGACGAAUCAUCUGGAAAGAUGAAUCAAAGAAGGUAAUAAUCCUGUAGUCGAAAAUGUUGUCUCUCUUGAGUGGAUCCUGAGUACGACGGAGCACGUGAAAUUCCGUCGGAAUCUGGGAGGACCAUCUCCUAAGGCUAAAUACUCUCUAGUGACCGAUAGUGAACCAGUACCGUGAGGGAAAGGUGAAAAGCACCCCGGAAGGGGAGUGAAAUAGAACCUGAAACCGUGUGCUUACAAGUAGUCAGAGCCCGUUAAUGGGUGAUGGCGUGCCUUUUGUAGAAUGAACCGGCGAGUUACGAUUUGAUGCAAGGUUAAGCAGUAAAUGUGGAGCCGUAGCGAAAGCGAGUCUGAAUAGGGCGUUUAGUAUUUGGUCGUAGACCCGAAACCAGGUGAUCUACCCUUGGUCAGGUUGAAGUUCAGGUAACACUGAAUGGAGGACCGAACCGACUUACGUUGAAAAGUGAGCGGAUGAACUGAGGGUAGCGGAGAAAUUCCAAUCGAACCUGGAGAUAGCUGGUUCUCUCCGAAAUAGCUUUAGGGCUAGCCUCAAGUGAUGAUUAUUGGAGGUAGAGCACUGUUUGGACGAGGGGCCCCUCUCGGGUUACCGAAUUCAGACAAACUCCGAAUGCCAAUUAAUUUAACUUGGGAGUCAGAACAUGGGUGAUAAGGUCCGUGUUCGAAAGGGAAACAGCCCAGACCACCAGCUAAGGUCCCAAAAUAUAUGUUAAGUGGAAAAGGAUGUGGCGUUGCCCAGACAACUAGGAUGUUGGCUUAGAAGCAGCCAUCAUUUAAAGAGUGCGUAAUAGCUCACUAGUCGAGUGACACUGCGCCGAAAAUGUACCGGGGCUAAACAUAUUACCGAAGCUGUGGAUUGUCCUUUGGACAAUGGUAGGAGAGCGUUCUAAGGGCGUUGAAGCAUGAUCGUAAGGACAUGUGGAGCGCUUAGAAGUGAGAAUGCCGGUGUGAGUAGCGAAAGACGGGUGAGAAUCCCGUCCACCGAUUGACUAAGGUUUCCAGAGGAAGGCUCGUCCGCUCUGGGUUAGUCGGGUCCUAAGCUGAGGCCGACAGGCGUAGGCGAUGGAUAACAGGUUGAUAUUCCUGUACCACCUAUAAUCGUUUUAAUCGAUGGGGGGACGCAGUAGGAUAGGCGAAGCGUGCGAUUGGAUUGCACGUCUAAGCAGUAAGGCUGAGUAUUAGGCAAAUCCGGUACUCGUUAAGGCUGAGCUGUGAUGGGGAGAAGACAUUGAGUCUUCGAGUCGUUGAUUUCACACUGCCGAGAAAAGCCUCUAGAUAGAAAAUAGGUGCCCGUACCGCAAACCGACACAGGUAGUCAAGAUGAGAAUUCUAAGGUGAGCGAGCGAACUCUCGUUAAGGAACUCGGCAAAAUGACCCCGUAACUUCGGGAGAAGGGGUGCUCUUUAGGGUUAACGCCCAGAAGAGCCGCAGUGAAUAGGCCCAAGCGACUGUUUAUCAAAAACACAGGUCUCUGCUAAACCGUAAGGUGAUGUAUAGGGGCUGACGCCUGCCCGGUGCUGGAAGGUUAAGAGGAGUGGUUAGCUUCUGCGAAGCUACGAAUCGAAGCCCCAGUAAACGGCGGCCGUAACUAUAACGGUCCUAAGGUAGCGAAAUUCCUUGUCGGGUAAGUUCCGACCCGCACGAAAGGCGUAACGAUUUGGGCACUGUCUCAACGAGAGACUCGGUGAAAUCAUAGUACCUGUGAAGAUGCAGGUUACCCGCGACAGGACGGAAAGACCCCGUGGAGCUUUACUGUAGCCUGAUAUUGAAAUUCGGCACAGCUUGUACAGGAUAGGUAGGAGCCUUUGAAACGUGAGCGCUAGCUUACGUGGAGGCGCUGGUGGGAUACUACCCUAGCUGUGUUGGCUUUCUAACCCGCACCACUUAUCGUGGUGGGAGACAGUGUCA